This 448-nucleotide ribosomal RNA is filed under the name uncultured organism. RNAcentral describes it as "partial 16S ribosomal RNA". It matches the Rfam family "Bacterial small subunit ribosomal RNA", at positions 335 to 799 of the family's 1533-position model. The record is from RNAcentral.
ACUCCUACGGGAGGCAGCAGUGGGGAAUAUUGGACAAUGGGCGCAAGCCUGAUCCAGCCAUGCCGCGUGAGUGAUGAAGGCCCUAGGGUUGUAAAGCUCUUUUGUGCGGGAAGAUAAUGACGGUACCGCAAGAAUAAGCCCCGGCUAACUUCGUGCCAGCAGCCGCGGUAAUACGAAGGGGGCUAGCGUUGCUCGGAAUCACUGGGCGUAAAGGGUGCGUAGGCGGGUCUUUAAGUCAGGGGUGAAAUCCUGGAGCUCAACUCCAGAACUGCCUUUGAUACUGAAGAUCUUGAGUUCGGGAGAGGUGAGUGGAACUGCGAGUGUAGAGGUGAAAUUCGUAGAUAUUCGCAAGAACACCAGUGGCGAAGGCGGCUCACUGGCCCGAUACUGACGCUGAGGCACGAAAGCGUGGGGAGCAAACAGGAUUAGAAACCCCAGUAGUCCCAUG